This is a non-coding RNA of Physcomitrium patens, 2684 nucleotides long. The record is from RefSeq and is a predicted model, not a curated record. Lineage: Eukaryota; Viridiplantae; Streptophyta; Bryopsida; Funariales; Funariaceae.
CUAUAUUAAACUGAUUAUGGAGUAUAAUGCCCUCCUUCACCUUAUCUUGCUUUUGUGAAGUUAUAAUUUUAAUAUAUUUAUUAUGUAGAUAGAUUUUAUUGUAAUUUUAAUGUGUUUCGUUUUGUAGGCAUAAUAGCCCGGAAUUUGCAUGGGGAUUCCCAUACAGGCUGCUUCGUGGUUUGUCUGCAAUGGCUAUGGUGAUCUUCAGCGCAAUGCCGCUUAGCGUUCAGCUUUCGAUGCCGCAGUGUUUCUAGGGUUUUAUGAUCUCCGAGCUUCAGUUGAGAAGGAGGAAGAAUUGACGGUAUUGGGGCUUGGAUUCUGCGUUGUAGGAAGUUGUUGAAAUGUAUCCAGAGUCUCUUUUGCGGAGGAGCAGGGGUUUUGGGUUUCCGCGAGUCUUGAGAAUAUGAUCGUCUUGUGUCGGCUGCAGACCUUGAUUGAUCGUGUUUCUCCUUCAUUUGCCUCUUCAGUGCCGCCCCCCUGGUCGUUUCCCCCUUUCUCCGUCGACUACAUUGUAGUCUUGGGAGUUUACUUGCCCUGCUUUGGUUCUUUUGGGUUGUUGCUCUUGUUAGCUUCUGUGAUUUGGCGCAGAGGAGUGCUUGGGAGCUUGUUCGAAGAUGAUGUCCGCUGUUUUCGUCCCUGCACGGAGCCUCCCACCAUGUGGAUUUUCUCCCACUCGUCCUCCUGGCUUCCUUCCUCCCCGCCGCCUCGCCGUUCGCGCUGCCAAACGCUCGUAUCUCAAUGCUGAGCAGGAUGUCCGUCCUUCCGUUCCCUCCAUUCUCAGAAUCCUGAAUGCUAGCCAGGUCUCCGUUGUGCAGAUUCUCGAGAGUCUGUCGCCCUCUAUGAAGUUAACUGAUUGGCUUUCACUUUUGGAAGGUCUUGCAAAUCAAAGCAAGUGGGCACUUACACUUGAGGUUUUCAGGUGGAUGCAAAGGCAGAAAUGGUACAAUCAUGAUGACGGAUUCUAUGCCAAGCUGAUCGUUAUCUCAGGAAAGGCCAGAGAUCUCCGGAUGGCUGUAUGGCUCUUCAAUGAGGUGAAACGAAGCGGUAGUCGACCUGACUCGUCUUUGUACAAUGCACUUAUCACCGCUUAUCUUCACAGCAGAGAUAAAGGAAGGGGAUUUGAAGCAGCUAUGAAGCUUUUCGAAAAGAUGAAGCAAAAACCAAAAUGCCAGCCCAAUUUGGUGACGUACAAUAUACUUCUCAGGGCUAGUGCACAAUUGGGUGAUGUUGUCCAAGUGGACAGAUUCUUUAAGGAGAUGGAGGCAGCGAAGAUCUAUCCUGAUCUUGUUACUUAUAACGGAGUCAUUGGUGCUUAUGCCGAGGCUGGAGACUAUGUACAAAUGGAAAUGACGCUGUUUGUCAUGAGAAUACAGAAACACAUAAAGCCUGACAAUGUGACCUCUAAUACUCUCAUCGGUGCAUAUGGCCGUGGAAAGGACUUUGUUAAGAUGGAGCAAGUGCUUAAAAGUAUGACAGGUUCUAAGUCUAAACACAGACCUGAUUUGAAAACGUAUAACCUCCUAAUGAGCAGUUACGCCCGGGCACAAGAUAUGGAGAAUAUGCUAUGGUCCUUCAGCAGGAUGGAAGAAGCAAGCUUCAAGCCUAAUUUCAGAAGUUUUGAGAUACUUAUGUAUGGAUUUGGCGGCGUGGGUGAUUUUGAAAAGAUGCGUGAGUGUUUCCAUCAAAUGCUUGAGGCUAGCAUAAAGCCUCAAACCUCUACGUUGAAUACUAUGAUUAGUGCAUAUUGCAAGCACAACUUUUUCGAAGAAGCAGAAGAACUUCUCAAAGAAGCCUUGGAGUGGCAAAUACAUCCUCGGACAUCAUCAUACCUAAUCAUUCUUAGGGCUUAUGCAAGAGAUAAUCGAUUAAAUGACAUGGAGAGGCUAAUCGAACGCAUGCGAAUAGCUGAUGUUGCACCAGUAUCAGCUUCGUUUUUGAAAUCUCUUGAACAUUUUGGCUUGGCAAACUGGAGCGAAGUCCAGCUUACUGAAUCCACUGUGGAGGGUCUAGCCGAAGAAGAUGAUGUCGACGUGGAUUUAUUUGAAGGAUCCAAGAAUUCAAGUGUAUCUAGCUCCCAAGUUCCGUAUUUCUCGGAUGAUACAGAUGAUUAGUAGUCUGAAAGAGCUACUUACAGUCUAUGCAGCUUGUGGUGGUCACACUCACGGCUUGUUUCUGGUGUGAAGUAACUGAAGAAUACCCAGAUGAAAUCUUGUGUUGGAUGUUAAGCAUCUGCUAUACCCGCUUUUUGAGAAGAAGAUAAUCAGUUUGCUGAAGAGGCUGUGGUAAGAGGAAAAUUUCUGGGAGUGCAAUUAUUACCACUGGAAAGGGGAGCCGUAUGUCGCAUUUUUUUCUUAAUCCAGAUAUCCCUUCUUCUGGACUCUACGAGCGGAGCAAUUACAGAUUCCAGUGAAUUUAAUCUCAAUCUGCUGCUGACUGCAAAUGCUCUGCCUUUGUAGACUGAUGAGUUGCAAGUCUAAGGAGGCUGUUUAGGACACUGUUUUAUCAAAUUUGCUCAUUCUUGCACCUGAUAUAGCUACUUGUCUGUAUGUUGACAUUGACGAACAGGCUACAAACUCGGUAUAAAUAGGACUUGUUGAUAUUCAUAUGUGGAGACCAAGCAUGUAAUACCUGGGCCCUUCAAAUACUUUUGUAAUGUAAUUGAAUUUACAUAUUGUUAAUCUCUA